UCGUUAGCUCAGCUGGUAGAGCAGCGGACUUUUAAUCCGUUGGUCGCGGGUUCGAAUCCCACACGAC
Molecule: transfer RNA, 67 nt
Filed under: bovine gut metagenome
Rfam family: tRNA
About the family: Transfer RNA (tRNA) molecules are approximately 80 nucleotides in length. Their secondary structure includes four short double-helical elements and three loops (D, anti-codon, and T loops).
Source: RNAcentral